RNAcentral lists this ribosomal RNA (440 nucleotides) under Clostridioides difficile. RNAcentral describes it as "bacterial LSU rRNA". It matches the Rfam family "Bacterial large subunit ribosomal RNA", at positions 2285 to 2724 of the family's 2925-position model. Lineage: Bacteria; Bacillati; Bacillota; Clostridia; Peptostreptococcales; Peptostreptococcaceae. The record is from RNAcentral.
GCCUCCCAAAAGGUAACGGAGGCGCUCAAAGGUUCUCUCAGUACGGUCGGAAAUCGUACGUAGAGUGUAAAGGCAAAAGAGAGCUUGAUUGCAAGACAUACAGGUCGAGCAAGGAUGAAAAUCGGACUUAGUGAUCCGGUGGGUCUGCGUGGAAGGGCCAUCGCUCAACGGAUAAAAGCUACCCUGGGGAUAACAGGCUUAUCUCCCCCAAGAGUCCACAUCGACGGGGAGGUUUGGCACCUCGAUGUCGGCUCAUCACAUCCUGGGGCUGUAGUAGGUCCCAAGGGUUGGGCUGUUCGCCCAUUAAAGUGGUACGCGAGCUGGGUUCAGAACGUCGUGAGACAGUUCGGUCCCUAUCCGUCGCAGGCGUAGGAAAUUUGAGAAGACCUGUCCUUAGUACGAGAGGACCGGGAUGGACGUACCUCUGGUGUACCAGUUGU